RNAcentral lists this ribosomal RNA (615 nucleotides) under uncultured Acidobacterium sp. RNAcentral describes it as "bacterial SSU rRNA". It matches the Rfam family "Bacterial small subunit ribosomal RNA", at positions 892 to 1501 of the family's 1533-position model. Lineage: Bacteria; Pseudomonadati; Acidobacteriota; Terriglobia; Terriglobales; Acidobacteriaceae. The record is from RNAcentral.
GAUUGAAACUCAAAGGAAUUGACGGGGGCCCGCACAAGCGGUGGAGCAUGUGGUUUAAUUCGACGCAACGCGAAGAACCUUACCGGGGUUUGAACUGUGCAGGAAGCUUGCCAGAGAUGGAAGUGUCCUCUUCGGAGGUCUGUUCAGAGGUGCUGCAUGGCUGUCGUCAGCUCGUGUCGUGAGAUGUUGGGUUAAGUCCCGCAACGAGCGCAACCCUUGUCUGUAGUUGCCAUCAGGUCAAGCUGGGCACUCUACGGAGACUGUCGGCGAAAAGCCGGAGGAAGGUGGGGAUGACGUCAAGUCUUCAUGGCCUUUAUGCCCCGGGCUACACACGUGCUACAAUGGGUGGUACAAAGAGCAGCCAACUCGCAAGAGUGAGCGAAUCUCAAAAAGCCAUCCUCAGUUCGGAUUGCAGUCUGCAACUCGACUGCAUGAAGGUGGAAUCGCUAGUAAUCGUGGAUCAGCAUGCCACGGUGAAUACGUUCCCGGGCCUUGUACACACCGCCCGUCACAUCACGAAAGUGGGCUGUACUAGAAGCCGCCGAGCUAACCUUUAGGGGAGGCAGGCGUCGACGGUGUGGCUCAUGAUUGGGGUGAAGUCGUAACAAGGUAACC